Molecule: long non-coding RNA, 629 nt
Filed under: Gallus gallus (chicken)
Lineage: Eukaryota; Metazoa; Chordata; Aves; Galliformes; Phasianidae
Description: lncRNA (ENSGALG00010006812.1)
Source: RNAcentral
CAACACAACCUCCACAGAGACAGAAACAUAAGGCAGAAAAUUAGGUGACAGGUCAAGAAGAACAACGGAAGACGGAAACAACGGAAACAACCGAAACAACCGAAACAACCAUAACAACCUCCACAGAGACAGAAACAUAAGGCAGAUAAUUAGGUGACAGGUCAAGAAGAACAACGGAAGACGGAAACAACGGAAACAACCGAAACAACCGAAACAACCAUAACAACCUCCACAGAGACAGAAACAUAAGGCAGAUAAUUAGGUGACAGGUCAAGAACAACAACGGAAACACUAACGGAAACACUAACGGAAACACUAACGGAAACAUCCGCCAGAGAGACAGAAACAUACGGCAGAAAAUUAGGUGACAUGUCAAGAACAACAACGGAAACAACUGAAACAACCAAAACAACCGAAACAACCUCCACAGAGACAGAAACAUAAGGCAGAAAAUUAGGUAACAGGUCAAGCACAACAACGGAAACAACCGAAACAACCUGCACAGAGACAGAAACAUAAGGCAGAAAAUUAGGUGACAGGUCAAGAACAACAACGGAAAUAACAGAAAAAACUGAAAUAACAAAAAUAAUAACGGAAAUAACGAAAAUAACCUUCACAGAGAUAGAAAC